CAGGCAGGCUGCCACUCUUUCCCUGUUGCACUACUGUUAAACUUGUAGCUAGCAGUGCAAUAAUGAAAGGGCGUCGGUCUGCCAG
Molecule: microRNA precursor, 85 nt
Organism: Chelonoidis abingdonii (Abingdon island giant tortoise)
Lineage: Eukaryota; Metazoa; Chordata; Testudines; Testudinidae
Source: Ensembl